Meleagris gallopavo (turkey) is the source of this 8580-nucleotide non-coding RNA. The record is from RefSeq and is a predicted model, not a curated record. Lineage: Eukaryota; Metazoa; Chordata; Aves; Galliformes; Phasianidae.
AAAAAAAGUUAUAGAAGCUUUUGUGGGUUAGAUAAACAUAGUGAAACUUCAACGGACUUUCUGUUCUUUAUUUUUAUUUUGCAUUUUGACUAACAAACCUAGCUAAAGCUCUUUCUACUUCACUGAUGCAUGCAAGAAUAGCGUAACUGUGAGCACAUGUAGUUUGAGCAGACUCUGCAGUAAAAAUCCCUACUGAUGCUUUAUACCAUUCAGGCCUUUGCCAAUGCUGCUAAGUCACCCAAAAGCCUGGAUUAAAAAUAUCUUGCACAGUCAGAGAUGGUUAAUCUAUGCUUGGUUUAUAUGUCUGGAGAAGCAAAAAGUUUUUUUUCUAUGAUUGGUUAGGCCUUUGACAUUGUAUCGUAGGUAUGGCCACGCUUUAAUCCUUUCAACAUGCAGAAAACGAGGAGGAUUUGCUCUGUAUUUCGUUCAGGAAGAGCAUCUUCUGUAUCUCAAGCUUUCAGGACCAUGAUAUUGAGGACCCAGGCUCCCCAGAACAAGAGUACACAACAGGAACAAAAGCAGAGUGAGAGUCUCGGUUUUUCACCCUGGUGGCCUAAAGCUGUCCUCAAAUCCAAAAAUGUGUGUUUGGUGCCGUGUAUAUCUUAACAUAGCUAGGUGGAAAUCAGCAUCAGUGGAGCUGGAGUAGCACAAAUAUCAGCACACCCUGUGUAAAGUCACUAGGUAUGCUUCAAUUCAUGAAUGUCCAUACUGUGCUUUCAUCACUCUUACUGCUAGAAUAGAACUUAAGUGUGUUGACACACACAGUGGUCAUGUUCUGCUUGCAGUGUAGACAUGGCCCUGGACCUUUCUCUACACGGAAGCACCAAGCCUUCAGAAGAUGUAUUAUAAUUGCUUACUUUUGAAAAUGGGACAAAGCUUAAAAUAAUGUGUGUUAAAGGUGGAAAUUCCCAUGUAAGAUUUCUGGAUGAUUCUUGUUCAGAGUGAUUAUUCCACAUGAUGCUAUUAUACGUGAGCAUAUGACUCAAUGAGCUACAACUAGGCUUCACUUUCCUCGUUGAGCUAUUAUGAAACUUGUGCUGGUUGCACAACAGAAACACUAAUGCUGAUGCAGCUGUAUGGCUAUAAAGAUAGUUUUAUACCAGUUCGGUUUUCUUUCAGUAAGAAAAAAUGGAACAAGCUAUGCUAUAAUAAGCCAUGAUAUCCGUGUAACUUUUUGCAACAGAUGGGCUGAGGAGUCUGUGAGUGCUUAAGGAAGAUUUUAAGAGGGACUCUCAACUUCUGACCAUGAUGGUUUCCCUUUUCUGUGGGUGUCUACUAAUAAGCUAUAUAAUUAAAUCAGGAUGUGCAUAUUCUGAAAUAUUUUGUUACAGAAUUGCAGGUUUACACCCGUGUAGCCAAGAAUAGCAUACACAGUGAUAUAUUUUGUUUUCUUACUUUUACCUCUCAGUCAUUUUGGUAUACAGACUACUUAUAUCCAGAACAAGCCAAUAUGCCUAUGGCCAUGCAUUAGAUCUGCAUUGUGUUACCAUACGUUACCACACAUUAUCUACUAUUGUUAGGUUACACAUCACCAUACUCUUGGCCUUACCUGUCACAUGAGCAGGAUUCCACCAUGCUAGGUACUGUAUCAGCACAAAGGAGAAAUCUGAUUCCUUUUCCUGAGGUUCUCAUCUUAAUAUAAAUCAAUAUAUAACAGGUGUCUAUAGAUAAUAUGUGGGAGAGUAAAGAGAAGACAAGCACUGUUUUACAUUCCAGGUGUCAGGUCUGGUAAAGGUGGAGGAGGUAGGUGUAGGGAUAGGAAAGUAUGGAAGUGCUUGUUGAAAAGUCUGAUUGUUGGGUAAUAAUGAAAGGCUUCACUGGCAGCAGCAGGAAUCGAUACCUCUGUGCCAAGUGAGAAAUGAUAGAUAGGGUGAAGAUAAGUGAUGGAAAGCUUUGAAGCCAAAGAUAAGAUAAAGAAGCUUAUGUUUGAUGCAAGAGUGUGUGGAGAGAGCUGGUGUAGACAGCAGCGAGGGGAUAGUGAUGGGCUGGGAAAGCAAUCUCUGCUGAAGUGUUCUGUUCUGAGUGGGGGAGAGCAAGUUUCUCUUGACUAGGACUUGAGCAAACUUUGUCAGAGUAACUUGAUAUGUCAGGUUUCAGAAGCCCAAGAAAGGAAGAACUGUUCAGACACUGUAUAAAAAGUACCUGCAGGAUGUCCUGUCUACUCUGUCUUGCAAAAUACUCUAGAAUAGGUUUAAAGUGUGUUUUCUACUAUCUACUGCACUUGUAGUGCCUCUGUUUGGGAAUAACAGUCCAAUUUGUGUUCAGCUUAACUCCUAAGUGAAGCAUCAGAAAAGCAUCCUGUGAAGCUGGGGAACACCAGGAGCAGCUGUCAGGAGAAGCUCUGUCUAAGCAAGAUCUUCAGCGUAAUCCAGAUAUGCAGACCUAAAAAGUGCAUGUCCAAGGUAACAGCUAGCAAUACAAGGUUGACCUGUGUUGUCUCUAGGAUGAAAAGCAACAGUGGUGGUGAAAUCUGAUGGGAAAUAAAACGUUACUUCUACAUUGUCGUGCUUGAGCUGAAAGGUGGAUUUUCUUGGUGAACCAUCCUAAAGACAGAUUAAGAAUUCACCGAGCGCUGAAAGUGGAAGUCUGGAAAUAGUUGUACCUCUGUGCAUCAUCAGUUCAGCUACAGCUGAAACCAUUUGCUAAAAUAAUUCAGUGGUAAGCUGCAGAGGAAGAAGAAAAGCUGCUCAGAGUAUCAUAGAUAACAGGACCAUAGAAUAUUAGAGGGAAUGCUAAGGAGGGCAUGAGUAAAGCAGGAGAAAUCAAGUCUAGAUAGUCAUAAUUUUUUUUUCUUUUUGCAUGCCUGAGGAGUCAGCUACUGCAUUAAUGCUGUUGUGGUGUUGUCAGGUUCCAUUUGUGAUGCUGGAUGCUGGAUGAUUAAUGCUGUUACAACGAUUCUGUAAUGCAGAAUAUAUUCAAUCAAUGGUUAUAUUAGCAUUCUCACCGUGGCAAACAAUUGAAUUAAUAUUGUGUGCAACAGUAACGAGACACGAAAGUUAUAUGGUGAUUAAUCACUCACUGCCAAUGCUGCCACUCGGUGCAGUGUUUAUUUUUUCUUUCUGUGAAAGAUAUCAGCAGUAACAAAGGUGGAUUUGAUAAUGUAAUUUUUUUUCUACCUUCCUCAACUAAGUAUUUUUGGGGAUAGGGUUGUUCAGCAAGCAAGCUAUGGCCAAUGGGGAACUUCUGAUAUGGAUUACAUUACAAGCAUCUUGCAGCUCCUCUAAGCUUUCCAUUGCCAAAACUUAAAAUGGCCGGAUAAGAGUGGUAGGAGCAAGGGAAAUUGUUGUGAGAGCAGAAUAGUAAGGCUAUUCAGGGCGAUGGCAGGGGAUGCCUUAUGUCCUUGGUGUCUCUGGAGAACCAAAGGCUGUGUGGCUCCCUUGGAUGUUUGUAAUGACUGAGUGCUACUCACUGAUACGGCAACACGAGGAUUUUUAGUUAGCUGUUCCCUAUUUCCCAUUUGUCCCAAAGUUUAAACAAUUUUGUGAGGCUGUCUUGUGGAACUUUUAUCCCAGCUCUUUUUUGUUGGAAGCGAGUCUACCUGCUUCUGACAUGGCUGAGACAUGAGGUAUCUCAAGAAAGAUAAUUGCCUGUGAUCCUCUCUUUCCUGAGCUGUUCUUUUUCCCCUAUGAUUUUACUGCUUAGGCAUCCUGCCUGCUGCUGUAAUAAAUGGGGAUUUCUGCCCUUUAGAAUGGAACGGUGUAGCAUCUUUUAGUCACCUUAUGAUUCCGUUAAGUAUUAAACUGUCAAAGAGCUGAAUAAACUACUGGUGAAAUCUAAGCUAUAAAUAUGGCUCAAUUAGCUAUUCUGUUUGGCUGUUUUGUGCAAAGCAGGUGUAAAACUGCUGCAUCUUUGUCAAGGUAUCAGUUAUACUCUGCUUGAACCAAGUGCUGGUAGAGAGGCCAGUACUGAAUACAGCAUAACUGUACCAUUGUGACUGACAGGUAUGGGUGAGUUCCAGAAACAACACUGGCCUAGAAAUACAGGAUCAUAUUUGGAGAUCUGCUUGGUGUGUCAGAGCCAUUAGAUUGUGAUUUGCUUAAGGAACCCCUCAUCUUGGAUGAUCCUUUGUUCACACGCCUUGACUUUGCAAGAUCUGCUACAUCAGACAGACUGGUCAUAGCCAUGGGACAUCUGGCUGUUGCUCUCAGAAUACAGAGAGUUGUGCAAUGGUUUCAUUUUUUUAAAGCUGGAUCUCCUCUGCCUCUGUAAACCUUACAGUGAAUACUUCUAAACAAGUGGUGAUCACAGAAAUGCCAGACAUGUCAAGCAGCAGAAGGAAUUGGCUUUGGGAAGGCAGUUAUUGAUUUGUAAAAAUUAAAAAAAAAUCACAACAAGCAACAGUUAGUGAAAUAAAGCUUCACUGCACACUGGCUGUCCUUGUGUAUUUAUUAUAUAGUAGUUGUUAGCUAUUUCCCAUAUAAUUAUGUUACUGGCCUACCAUUAUUAAUACAGAGUUUAAAGGUACUGGUAACAAACUGGUCAAAUUAUUAAUGGAGGAUUCAUUGUAGGAGGGAAUUUGUCAAAAGUUUGGGUUGUGUAUUUUUUUUUCCCCUGUACAUUUCUAUGUGUAGACUUUACAUCAUUUUUUUUCCACAGAGGCUAUUUGACUCAUAUGUCAGGAGACCUGAAGUCAUGGGAAGAAAAGCCCAACCAACCAAAUCAAUUAAAAUGCUAUUUAUCCCCCAGGACCCAGUUUUUCUUAGAUGGGUGAAUCUUCCUCUAAAUUUCAGCAUCUGUUGCUCAGCCCUUGCUCACAGCUCGGUGGUGACUUGCUGUUGGUCAGACUUUUGCGAAACUGUGACAUAAAUUGUGGCAGACUACAGCAGUGACCACAGCAUGUCCUGACGUUCUCUGAGUCAUGUUAGAUUCAGGAAACAACAGUAUAAAUAGAACUCUCCAAAUAGUAGCUUUACAUCAUCAUCAUGUGUUUCCAGUCGGGGGAUAAAUACUUCCUCGUUCCAGUGGUUAUAUCACUUUUCCAGACCCUUUCUAAAACUAAAUAUAGUCAUAGAAAGUGUCCCUGCACAUGUAAACUAAAGCAGUUGAGUCAUUUAAGACCUUGGGGAGUCGUUGAGAAUAUGCUGUAUCAUCCAUUGCUAACAGACACAAGGGGGAACCAUUAGUAGUAAGAAGGAUGUAUGUGGUCUUCUAGCUGAAGUGUGGGCUUGGAAGUCAGUAAUUCUGUUGCAUAUGUGCUAGCCUUGUGGAGAUGACUCUGUCCAUUUGUCUGUUGAUACUAAAGUGACAAGGCACAGCCCAUGACCAAGACAUCUGGCUACCUUCUGUGUAGAGGAGACUGUGGAAUCCCUCAACAGCUAUGUGACACCCCUGGUCACUUGCAUUUCUGCAAGCCACACUCCGCUUGCCAGUGGAGUUCCAUUUCAACGGAAUAGUAAGGAAGCAGAGGGAUCUCUUGCACCUGAUUUUGAUUGCUACUGAACACAUGCCCUCACUGUUACACUCAGAACACCUGAAAUAGCAGCGUUGUUGGGUCAUGUAGUAGGCUGUCAAAUUCAGAAUCAUCCAGAAUCAGUGGCUGCUCUUGAAAGUGUUGAUUGUAACCAUUCAUUUAGAAAAGGCAGCGAGUUGGAACAAGAGACGUUGCAGAUAGAAUAAAAUGCAGUCAAGUGUUUAAGCCCUGUACAAAGGUCAAUAGUAUCUGUGAGAUUGAAAGAACUAUUGGAGGGGCCAUCUCAAUAAGCAACUGCCCUAACACCUCAUAGUGUUGCAGGGAUAGCUGCUCAUUCCCCUACCUUAAUGAUACUAUAAUUACUAGCCAUUGCAGAAUCUUGCUAGCUGUUCUUACAGUGCAGUCCAGGCUCAGAAAGCAAAUAAUAAGCACUGCACACAGGCAGCAUUUCAAAAUGAGGGGAUGGUUCCCUUCCAAUCUUUGGACAUGGAAAUAUAGGAAGAAAAUCACUGCUUAGGCCUGUAAUUUGCUAGAUGGCCAUGGGAGCUGGUAGUUGCACCACUGUAACCAGGAGUGAUCAGCCUUGCUCCGUGCUGGGCUUUCUGAAGUCCCUUUACCUGAGACUCUAUACCAGAUAAUUGUUCUCUUUUAGUUAUGUGAUUGAAUAUUUUGUAUAUACCAAAAUGGGAGGCUGCUUAUGUAGUUCUACACCGUAGCUUGCAGAUGUAAGAACACAUAUUUGUGGGAAAAGCAGCUUCAAUCUUUAGAGAAAGAAUCAAAUACAUCCUGCAGUUGCAGUUCAGGCUUCUGUGCAUUACGUUCAAUGUAAACCCUUCUCAUAAUUCAUUUGGAUUUGGCAAACACGUAUCUGUAAAGUAUAUCUGGAUUUAUUGAGGAUAUUUCUGAUCUUUGAUUUUUUUUCCCUGCAGACAGUGGGAGCUCAUUCACCAGUUUCUGAAAUGCUGCUUUGCUGAGAGCUGAGAGGUGCCACUUGUCAGAAGGCACAAAGGAACUCUGCCCAUGCUCACAGCAUUCAGGCAGGGAGCAGUACUCAUGCUGUUAUUAUGGGGAAAUUCAUGGGUAGGUAAAUGGUAAUUUUCCAAACCAGAAUUUGGCACGGCAGAACUAAUUUAUUCUUCCUCUUGAACAAAGACACUACAGAGUUUUGAUCAGGCAUAGUGAUUUGAUGUCUGUGAGACCCAGCAGGAUACAAAUUGGGAAAAAGUAAACACAGCAGUGGCUUUGCCUGCAGUUCCCACUUUUUGCUCCAAGAUGCUUAGCAAUAUCUGUGUGUUAUCUAGGUGCUGAAAUGAAAAUUGUCUUUCUCUUCAGCUUUCAGGUUGCCCUGUCUCUUGUCUUAACCAGCCUGUGCACAGCAUGAAAAGGUUUACUGUGCAUGGGAAGCAGCUUAGUGCUUCAGACGCAGAGAGACUGUGAACUGGACAACAAAGGCUCCUUGUGAAUCGCCAAGAAAUACUUUCCUUAUAGUAACUAAACAGAGAAAUUAAUGUCAGUGCAAAUGCAGCACUGCUGUGUUCAGCUGGCAGAGCUCUGCUCAGUCUCACAGUGAAGAUGUUUUUAUACAGCUUCCUUCCCAGUGCCCUGCCUUCUGGCCCGGGUCGUGCAGUGUGUGGGUGCCUGGGAGACACCCCCACUUGCACACUGAUGCCCUCAGACCUGGUCUGCGUCCAGAACAGUCUCAGGGGGUUUGGCAUUUAUUUCUUCUGUCUUGUUAAGCUACAUCAGGCUUCAGUUGCAGACUCCACAUGGCAUUCCUCUUUGGUACAUACUUUCUCUGUCUCCAGGGCAUCACUUGUGGAAGGAGACAUUGCCUGGCAGGAGCUCAGGAAACACAAAUAUUUGGGACUCUGAUGGUGAACCAUGUUUCUUUUGAUGUUUGUUUGCUCUUUAGAAACGUCCAUGUGAUGCAGGGGCUGACAGGAUGCAGAAGCAUAUGAUCUGGUCAGCCCUGGAUUACGGUAGCUUUUGUAAAGCAUUUUAGCCUUGAGCAGUAUUCAUCCUUUUGCCUUUUCUGGUUGUACAAGGAGAAGGGACGUUUGCUGCAGGCCAGAUUCAGAAGGUCAGUAACUUAAACAAGUUCAUUAUUUAUUUUCCUGUGGCAUCUGUAGGGUCUCUUCAGGGCCAAAAAAAUUGUAUUUGAAGUCCGUAAAUAUACAUGUUCCUUUCUCUGAGAGCUUAUGACCUUAUUGAGCACAAAGACAGACCAAGAGGAAGUUGUAACAAAAACAGUUAAACAAAUUCAGUUAAACGAAUUGAAUCUUUGUGCAGAAACAUAUUCUGAUAUUCUAGAAGAAAGAAUUAGCAGGAAACUUUCAACUAUUCUAGGUGGCAUAUUUUUUUAUCGUUAGAGCAUUUUGGGGCCAGUGAGCUCAGAAAAGUCUGUGAAGCAAAGCACCUCAUAUCCAUUCAUAGAAUCAUGUAGGUUAGAAAAGACCUCUAAGAUCAUCUAGUCCAACUGUCAUUCAAACAAUGCAUGCUCAACCAUCAGGAGGUUACUUUUGUCUGUUUUUCUGACUAGAACAACCUCAGUGUGAGCCCUGCACGCUUCAGCAAGAGACUUUUGCAAGCAAAUCACAGACCAAGAAACUGAAGAGCCCUUUUCUCCGUGCAGUUUUUUGGGGAAAACCUUUGGUUUAAACAAAGGGAACCAAGCCAGUAGUAUAUGGAAGGACUUAGGCUUCCAGCUGAGAUGAAAUCACUUUUGAUUCUGUCUGGAAGAUACGUUCUGGGAACAGAAACGAGUGUCUUAAGGAGCAGUGAGAUGGGAGGAGUGGGUGGUGACAAGUGUAGCAUGGUGUGAGAGGAUGGUGGCUCUUUUUUACACCCUGGUAGAGAUCUGAAGGACAGGAGAAAGGUCUCAUACUGGUACUGACAGACACAAUCUGCUGAAAAUUGAGUCAAUUUGAGAAAAACAAGCUAAAAGUUUUGCCUGUGACAGGUAAUUUUGGUUUGUCAAAUAUUGCAUUUUCACUGUCUUGUCACAUCGGAGCCCAUUGUGAACACUGGGUAUCACCAUAAAGAUGGAACAAGAAAAACAACUCCUUUCACAGCUCACAUGAUUUGUCACAUUUUUCUAUUUUUAAGAUAUCUUUCUUGCCAAUGUUGCUGUACACAAAAGCCCUGCUCAGGUUUUUUGGAGAUAGGCUGGU